This 449-nucleotide ribosomal RNA is filed under the name uncultured bacterium. RNAcentral describes it as "partial 16S ribosomal RNA". It matches the Rfam family "Bacterial small subunit ribosomal RNA", at positions 29 to 523 of the family's 1533-position model. The record is from RNAcentral.
AACGAACGCUGGCGGCAUGCCUAACACAUGCAAGUCGAACGAGAUCUUCGGGUCUAGUGGCGCACGGGUGCGUAACGCGUGGGAAUCUGCCCUUUGGUUCGGAAUAACAGUUGGAAACGACGGCUAAUACCGGAUGAUGACGAAAGUCCAAAGAUUUAUCGCCAGAGGAUGAGCCCGCGUAGGAUUAGCUAGUUGGUGUGGUAAAGGCGCACCAAGGCGACGAUCCUUAGCUGGUCUGAGAGGAUGAUCAGCCACACUGGGACUGAGACACGGCCCAGACUCCUACGGGAGGCAGCAGUGGGGAAUAUUGGACAAUGGGCGAAAGCCUAAUCCAGCAAUGCCGCGUGAGUGAUGAAGGCCUUAGGGUUGUAAAGCUCUUUUACCCGGGAUGAUAAUGACAGUACCGGGAGAAUAAGCUCCGGCUAACUCCGUGCCAGCCGCCGCAGUAA